GAAUUGCGGCGGACUACGAUGCAGUCGAGCGGUAACACAGGGAGCUUGCUCCUGGGUGACGAGCGGCGGACGGGUGAGUAAUGUCUGGGAAACUGCCUGAUGGAGGGGGAUAACUACUGGAAACGGUAGCUAAUACCGCAUAACGUCGCAAGACCAAAGAGGGGGACCUUCGGGCCUCUUGCCAUCAGAUGUGCCCAGAUGGGAUUAGCUAGUAGGUGGGGUAACGGCUACCUAGGCGAGACCCAUAGCUGGUCGAGAGCAUGACAGCCACUGGACUGAACGGUCAGAUCUACGGAGGCAGCAGUGGGAUUGCACAUGGGCGCAGCUGAUGCAGCAUGCGCGUGUAUGAGAGCUCGGGUGUAGUACUCAGCGGGAGGAGCGUGAGUAUAACUCAGCGAUGACGUACCGCAGAGAGCACGCUACUCGUGCAGCAGCGCGGUAAUACGAGGGUGCAGCGUAUCGGAAUACUGGGCGUAAAGCGCACGCAGGCGGUCUGUCAAGUCGGAUGUGAAAUCCCCGGGCUCAACUGGGAACUGCAUUCGAAACUGGCAGGCUAGAGUCUGUAGAGGGGGGUAGAAUUCCAGGUGUAGCGGUGAAAUGCGUAGAGAUCUGGAGGAAUACCGGUGGCGAAGGCGGCCCCCUGGACAAAGACUGACGCUCACGUGCGAAAGCGUGGGGAGCAAACAGGAUUAGAUACCCUGGUAGUCCACGCCGUAAACGAUGUCGACUUGGAGGUUGUGCCCUUGAGGCGUGGCUUCCGGAGCUAACGCGUUAAGUCGACCGCCUGGGGAGUACGGCCGCAAGGUUAAAACUCAAUGAAUUGACGGGGCCCGCACAGCGGUGGAGCAUGUGGUUUAUUCGAUGCAACGCGAGACCUUACCUACUCUUGACAUCCAGAGACUUACCAGAGAUGCAUUGUGCCUUCGGGACUCUGAGACAGUGCUGCAUGGCUGUCGUCAGCUCGUGUGUGAAUGUUGGGAUAGUCCCGCACGAGCGCACCCUAUCUUGGUGCCAGCGGUAGCCGGGACUAAAGGAGACUGCAUGAUAACUGAGAAGGUGGAAUGACGUCAAGUCAUAUGGCCUUACGAGUAGGCUAACACGGCUAAAAUGGCGCACACAAAGAGAAGCGACCUCGCGACAGCAAGCGGACCUCAUAAAGUGCGUCGUAGUCCGGAUUGGAGUCUGCAACUCGACUCCAUGAAGUCGGAAUCGCUAGUAAUCGUAGAUCAGAAUGCUACGGUGAAUACGUUCCCGGGCCUUGUACACACCGCCCGUCACACCAUGGGAGUGGGUUGCAAAAGAAGUAGGUAGCUUAACCUUCAGGGAGUACGCUUACUCACAUUUGGAAUCCAGCGG
Molecule: ribosomal RNA, 1356 nt
Filed under: Enterobacter asburiae
Lineage: Bacteria; Pseudomonadati; Pseudomonadota; Gammaproteobacteria; Enterobacterales; Enterobacteriaceae
Description: bacterial SSU rRNA
Rfam family: Bacterial small subunit ribosomal RNA
Source: RNAcentral